This is a long non-coding RNA of Rhododendron vialii, 240 nucleotides long. RefSeq lists it as uncharacterized. The record is from RefSeq and is a predicted model, not a curated record. The transcript has 2 exons. Lineage: Eukaryota; Viridiplantae; Streptophyta; Magnoliopsida; Ericales; Ericaceae.
UCAUAGCUAUUUUGAUCACUAGUCUUACAAUAUUAAGACGUACUAGUGCACUUUAAUUUGAUUCUCAGGAUGCGUUAUUUACUGGACCUUGAGGAUUUUCACUUUCUGCGCUUAGUGCUCAGUGAAUAGGAGAACGGGUUACUUAAACCAUUUCAAUCACAGGAUUUAAAUACAUGUGGAGCUAAAUAGCUAAGGACUACUUUCUUCAACAGAGUCCGCUGUCACAAGCCCUGUUGUUUC